GCAGCCGCCGCGGUAAUACAGAGGGUGCGAGCGUUAAUCGGAUUUACUGGGCGUAAAGCGUGCGUAGGCGGCUUUUUAAGUCGGAUGUGAAAUCCCUGAGCUUAACUUAGGAAUUGCAUUCGAUACUGGGAAGCUAGAGUAUGGGAGAGGAUGGUAGAAUUCCAGGUGUAGCGGUGAAAUGCGUAGAGAUCUGGAGGAAUACCGAUGGCGAAGGCAGCCAUCUGGCCUAAUACUGACGCUGAGGUACGAAAGCAUGGGGAGCAAACAGGAUUAGAUACCCCUGUAGUCCCUGUCUCUUAUAA
This 302-nucleotide ribosomal RNA is filed under the name uncultured bacterium. RNAcentral's name for it is "partial 16S ribosomal RNA". It matches the Rfam family "Bacterial small subunit ribosomal RNA", at positions 508 to 809 of the family's 1533-position model. The record is from RNAcentral.